Molecule: long non-coding RNA, 605 nt
Filed under: Sarcophilus harrisii (Tasmanian devil)
Lineage: Eukaryota; Metazoa; Chordata; Mammalia; Dasyuromorphia; Dasyuridae
Description: lncRNA (ENSSHAG00000021742.1)
Source: RNAcentral
CGAUUGGUCCGGCCUGGCCGGCUCCGGUUAGCGGAGGGCUCUGAUUGGGCGGGGCGGGGAUGAGGCCGACGGGGCGAGAGAGCCAGAAGGAAAGAGAGGAGGCCGGCCCGGGGACGGAUAGGAGGGUGGGCUCCCUAAGAGAGCUAUUCAAUGACAAGAAUUUACUUUGGAGGGGAAAGAAGCAGGAGGUACCUAGAUGUUUCAGUGGAUAGAGCACUGGGCCUGAAAACAGGAAGACCAAGGAUCAGAUCAAGCCUCAGACAUUUCCUUGUGUGACCCUGGACAAGCCACAACUUCAGAUGACCAGCUUUGUCAAAUGUAUACUAAUAAUACCUACCUCUCAGAGCUAUUAUGAGAAUUAAAUGGCAUGUAAUUUGUAAGAUGCUUAGCACAGUGUCUCAGACGUAAUAGAUAUUAAUAAAUGCUAUUAUUUUUAAAGAAAUAUUUUGUAAAAUACAUUUUGUCAGAUUCUAUAAACUGAGAUAUCUAGGUGCUGUAGUAGAGAGAGUGCUAGCUGUAAAAGUCAGGAAGAUCUGAGUCUAAAUGUUGUCCUAGACACUUAGUAGUUAUGUGACCCUGGAAAAGGCACUCAACAUCUCUUAGCC